GAGGGUAUAGCUCAGUGGUAGAGUGUGUGCCUAGCAUGCAUGAGGUCCAGGGAUCAAUCCCCAGUACCACUG
This 72-nucleotide transfer RNA is filed under the name Camelus bactrianus (Bactrian camel). It matches the Rfam family "tRNA". From Rfam's summary of the family: Transfer RNA (tRNA) molecules are approximately 80 nucleotides in length. Their secondary structure includes four short double-helical elements and three loops (D, anti-codon, and T loops). Lineage: Eukaryota; Metazoa; Chordata; Mammalia; Artiodactyla; Camelidae. RNAcentral also lists the same sequence under 2 other names. The record is from Rfam by way of RNAcentral.